This 253-nucleotide ribosomal RNA is filed under the name uncultured bacterium. RNAcentral describes it as "partial 16S ribosomal RNA". It matches the Rfam family "Bacterial small subunit ribosomal RNA", at positions 524 to 776 of the family's 1533-position model. The record is from RNAcentral.
UACGUGGGGUCCGAGCGUUGUCCGGAAUUAUUGGGCGUAAAGAGCUCGUAGGCGGUUUGUCGCGUCUGCUGUGAAAUCCCGAGGCUCAACCUCGGGUCUGCAGUGGGUACGGGCAGACUGGAGUGCGGUAGGGGAGAAUGGAAUUCCUGGUGUAGCGGUGGAAUGCGCAGAUAUCAGGAGGAACACCGAUGGCGAAGGCAGUUCUCUGGGCCGUAACUGACGCUGAGGAGCGAAAGCGUGGGGAGCGAACAGG